RNAcentral lists this ribosomal RNA (503 nucleotides) under uncultured bacterium. RNAcentral's name for it is "bacterial SSU rRNA". It matches the Rfam family "Bacterial small subunit ribosomal RNA", at positions 28 to 524 of the family's 1533-position model. The record is from RNAcentral.
GACGAACGCUGGCGGCGUGGAUUAGGCAUGCAAGUCGAACGGUAUCAUCCUUUCGGGGGUGAGAGAGUGGCGAACUGGUGAGUAACACGUAGGUUAUCUACCCUCAAGACGGGGACAACCCAGGGAAACUUGGGCUAAUACCGGAUGUGAGCAACUUUUAGUUGUUUGAAAGGUGGCGUAAGCUGUCGCUUGGGGAUGAGCCUGCGUCCUAUUAGUUAGUUGGUGAGGUAACGGCUCACCUAGGCAAUGAUAGGUAGGCGGCCUUAACGGGUGGUCGCCCACACUGGGAUUGAGAUACGGCCCAGACUCCUACGGGAGGCAGCAGUCGAGAAUAGUCUACAAUGGUCGGAAGACUGAUAGUGCGACGCCGCGUGAACGAUGAAUCCCUUCGGGUGUAAAGUUCUUUUAUAUGUGAGCAGUGCUUCUUAUAUUAACAGUAUGGGGAGAGAGAUAUUAGCAUAUGAAUAAGCAACGGCUAACUCCGUGCCAGCAGCCGCGGUAAU